AACGGUCUAUACCUGCGGUACCUGCGGAGGGAUCAUUAGUAAUUUUGUGGUCUCUUAAGAGGCUAUAAUCUGAUUUUGUGGUAUAAAUGAAAGAAAUCUUGGGUUUAAAGAUGAUGUGUUUGUAAUGGAUGCAUCGACCCAAAACUUUUAUCAACUCUUUAUUAUUUGACUGAUAUUAUCAAGUUAAUCGAAAGAUUAAAAAAAAGUUUAAAUAACUUUUAACAAUGGAUCUCUAGAUCG
This 240-nucleotide unclassified non-coding RNA is filed under the name soil metagenome. RNAcentral's name for it is "partial contains 5.8S ribosomal RNA, internal transcribed spacer 2, and large subunit ribosomal RNA". The record is from RNAcentral.